GCCUAGCCCUAAACCUUGGUAAUAUAUCACAUACCCUACCCGCCUGGGAACUACGAGCACCAGCUUAAAACCCAAAGGACUUGGCGGUGCUUUAGACCCCCCUAGAGGAGCCUGUUCUAGAACCGAUAACCCCCGUUCAACCUCACCCUUCCUUGUUUAUCCCGCCUAUAUACCGCCGUCGUCAGCUUACCCUGUGAAGGCCUAAAAGUAAGCACAACUGGUACAACCCAAAACGUCAGGUCGAGGUGUAGCGCAUGGAGGGGGAAGAAAUGGGCUACAUUCCCUAUAUUAGGGAACACGAACGGCGCACUGAAACACGCGCCUGAAGGAGGAUUUAGUAGUAAGCGGGAAAUAGCGUGUUCCGCUGAAAUCGGCCCUGAAGCGCGC
This 387-nucleotide ribosomal RNA is filed under the name Sebastes proriger (redstripe rockfish). RNAcentral's name for it is "partial 12S ribosomal RNA". It matches the Rfam family "Bacterial small subunit ribosomal RNA", at positions 794 to 1384 of the family's 1533-position model. The record is from RNAcentral. Lineage: Eukaryota; Metazoa; Chordata; Actinopteri; Perciformes; Sebastidae.